Molecule: long non-coding RNA, 1454 nt
Organism: Oncorhynchus tshawytscha (Chinook salmon)
Lineage: Eukaryota; Metazoa; Chordata; Actinopteri; Salmoniformes; Salmonidae
Source: Ensembl
CUCUCCUAGACAUCUCUCCUAAAGACAUCGCUCCUAAAGACAUCUCUCCUAAAGACAUCUGUCCUAGACAUCUCUCCUAGAGACAUCUCUCCUAAAGACAGCUCUCCUAGAGACAUCUCUCCUAAAGACAUCUCUCCUAGAGACAUCUCUCCUAAAGACAUCUCUCCUAGAGACAUCUCUCCUAGACAUCUCUCCUAAAGACAUCUCUCCUAGACAUCUCUCCUAGACAUCUCUCCUAGACAUCUCUCCUAAAUACAUCUCUCCUAGAGACAUCUCUCCUAGACAUCUCUCCUAGACAUCUCUCCUAAAGACAUCUCUCCUAAAGACAUCUCUCCUAGACAUCUCUCCUAAAGACAUCUCUCCUAAAGACAUCUCUCCCAAAGACAUCUCUCCUAGAGACAUCUCUCCUAGAGACAUCUCUCCUAAAGACAUCUCUCCUAAAGACAUCUCUCCUAGAGACAUCUCUCCUAAAGACAUCUCUCCUAGAGACAUCUCUCCUAAAGACAUCUCUCCUAGAGACAUCUCUCCUAAAGACAUAUCUCCUAGAUACCUCUCCUAGAGACAUCUCUCCUAAAGACAUCUCUCCUAGACAUCUCUCCUAAAGACAACUCUCCUAAAGACAUCUCUCCUAAAGACAUAUCUCCUAGAUACCUCUCCUAGAGACAUCUCUCCUAAAGACAUCUCUCCUAGACAUCUCUCCUAAAGACAACUCUCCUAAAGACAUAUCUCCUAGCCAUCUCUCCUAAAGACAUCUCUCCUAGACAACUCUCCUAAAGACAUCUCUCCUAAAGACAUAUCUCCUAGACAUAUCUCUUGAAGACAUCUCUCCUAGACAUCUCUCCUAAAGACAUCUCUCCAAGACAUAUCUCCUAGCCAUCUCUCCUAAAGACAUCUCUCCUAGACAACUCUCCUAAAGACAGGUCUCCUAGCCAUCUCUCCUAAAGACAUCUCUCCUAGAGACAUCUCUCCUAAAGACAUCUCUCCUAAAGACAGGUCUUAUAGCCCCGUUGUAUUGACGCUGGGCUGACGCGUGUUCUAUACCAUCUUAAUGUACAGGUAACAGGGCUAAUUCAGUGAACAGUCAUUAUUGUAUUUAUUCAUGUCUACUCUAUAUGUUGGCCGUAGUGUGAUAAGGACAGCGCUACUCAGAAGGGCCGGACUAACAAAUGACACAUUAACAUCAAAUAAAUAACAUAAAUGUAUUGUUUUAUUUAAGGCCUUCUCCGCUACUUUGUUCACAGUGAAUAAUAUGAUACUCUACCUGUUAUGAUGAAUACAUAAGGGUUAAAAAGAUAGCUGAACGGAGAUGAACACUGUAGCCCGUUUGCAGUCAGAAGAUAACUGAACAGAGAUGAACACUGUAGCCAGUUUGCAGUCAGAAGAUAGCUGAACGGAGAUGAACACUGUAGCCAGUUUGCAGUCAGAAGAUAACUGAACGGAGAUGAACACUGUAG